GCCUAACACAUGCAAGUCGAGCGGUAACAGGACUAGCUUGCUAGUUGCUGACGAGCGGCGCACGGGUGCGUAACACGUGAGUAAUCUGCCUUGGAGCCCGGAAUAACUCCCCGAAAGGGGUGCUAAUGCCGGAUGAGCCCACGGGGUCUUCGGACCUUGAGGGAAAAGGUGGCCUCUGUAUACAAGCUAUCACUUCAGGAUGAGCUCGCGGCCCAUCAGCUAGUUGGCGGGGUAAUGGCCCACCAAGGCUACGACGGGUAGCUGGUCUGAGAGGACGAUCAGCCACACUGGAACUGAGACACGGUCCAGACUCCUACGGGAGGCAGCAGUGGGGAAUCUUGCGCAAUGGGCGAAAGCCUGACGCAGCAACGCCGCGUGUGUGAUGAAGGUCUUCGGAUCGUAAAGCACUGUCGCGAGGGACGAAUAAGGGUCGGGUGAACAAUCCGGUCCGAUGACGGUACCUCGAGAGGAAGCACCGGCUAACUCUGUGCCAGCAGCCGCGGUAAUACAGAGGGUGCAAGCGUUGUUCGGAAUUAUUGGGCGUAAAGCGCGUGUAGGCGGCCACGCAAGUUGGGUGUGAAAGCCCUCGGCUUAACCGAGGAAGUGCGCCCAAAACUACAAGGCUUGAGUACCGGAGAGGGUGGCGGAAUUCCCGGUGUAGAGGUGAAAUUCGUAGAUAUCGGGAGGAACACCAGUGGCGAAGGCGGCCACCUGGACGGAUACUGACGCUGAGACGCGAAAGCGUGGGUA
RNAcentral lists this ribosomal RNA (750 nucleotides) under uncultured bacterium. RNAcentral's name for it is "bacterial SSU rRNA". It matches the Rfam family "Bacterial small subunit ribosomal RNA", at positions 46 to 767 of the family's 1533-position model. The record is from RNAcentral.